This 69-nucleotide transfer RNA is filed under the name Loxodonta africana (African savanna elephant). It matches the Rfam family "tRNA". Rfam says of the family: Transfer RNA (tRNA) molecules are approximately 80 nucleotides in length. Their secondary structure includes four short double-helical elements and three loops (D, anti-codon, and T loops). Further hydrogen bonds mediate the characteristic L-shaped molecular structure. tRNAs have two regions of fundamental functional importance: the anti-codon, which is responsible for specific mRNA codon recognition, and the 3' end, to which the tRNAs corresponding amino acid is attached (by aminoacyl-tRNA synthetases). tRNAs cope with the degeneracy of the genetic code in two manners: having more than one tRNA (with a specific anti-codon) for a particular amino acid; and 'wobble' base-pairing, i.e. permitting non-standard base-pairing at the 3rd anti-codon position. The record is from Rfam by way of RNAcentral. Lineage: Eukaryota; Metazoa; Chordata; Mammalia; Proboscidea; Elephantidae.
GCCCUGGUAGUAUAGUGGUUAAACAUUUGGCUGCUAACCAAAAGGUUGGUGGUUCGAAUCCAUCGGGUA